Molecule: non-coding RNA, 79 nt
Organism: Phialophora macrospora
Lineage: Eukaryota; Fungi; Ascomycota; Eurotiomycetes; Chaetothyriales; Herpotrichiellaceae
Source: the annotation of a GenBank genome assembly
GGACCCCUGGCGCAACGGUAGCGCGUUCGACUCCAGGGUUGGUAUCGAAAGGUUAUCUGUUCAAAUCAGGUGGGGUUCA